ACCCUAGUACCGCUUGGCUUGAUUAGUGACGUUCAGGUGGCUUGUUCAGGUGGGACACGUUCACCUGGGUAGAUUAGUGGCUUGUUCUCAGGUGAUUUGCUCAAGGGACAUGUUCAGGGUUCAGUUCCAUGUGACUUUUAUAAACUGGUUCCUCACGUGUUUCAAUUUGUGAGCUCUUCCACUGGUCGGCGCAGAUGAUUUGUGGCUUUUUUUGUCAGGUGAUUCGUACAAAGGACACGUUUAGGGCUUUGUUCCAUGUGACGUCUUCAAAUUAGUUCCUCUGGUGUUUCAGGUGACUUCCUUAGGUGACUUUUUCAGGUGACUUUUUCAGGUGACUUUUUCAGGUGACUUUUUCAGGUGACUUUUUCAGGUGACUUUUACAGGUGACUUUUUCAGGUGACUUUUUCAGGUGACUUUUUCAGGUGACUUUUUCAGGUGACUUUUUCAGGUGACUUUUUCAGGUGACUUUUUCAGGUGACUUUUUCAGGUGACUUUUUCUGGUGACUUUUUCUGGUGACUUUUUCAGGUGACUUUUUCAGGUGACUUUUUCAGGUGACUUUUUCAGAUGACUUUUUCAGGUGACUUGCUCAGGUGACUUCCCUAAACCAGAUGGCCAUAAAGCUACUGAUAUUCACAUGACAUACUGAGGUGACUGGCAGAUGACUAAAUAAGGCGAUGAAUAGGUCACACAAGUUACUAUAGAGAUAACUUUUUAGACUACUUGUUUUUUUUUUUGUGUGUGUGUCCUUGUGGGUUAAGCAACUGGCCUGACCAUUUGACAGCACUAUAUGUCGGUUGAGGAACUGCCCUGAAUAUUUGCCUGAACUAGAUGACUCAUAAGCCUUACUUUCUUCACGGGUGACUUGAACGAGCAGCCUGAACGAGAUAUAGUUUAAUAAAUAACUUAGUGCAUGGGUAACCCCUUCCUCGCCGGUGCCUGGCUUAAGCCCUGCCAAGCCAUCCAGCGCCCUUCAUGCGACCCUCCCUCGACGCUGUAUCCGCCUGACAUCUCUUAUUAGUCUUCCCUUGUACCCAUCCUCUCCUCCUGUUAGAUUUUUUCCUAUCACUAACCUCGAAUACCACUUUAUUUAUUUCAUUGUGUUGAUUUAUGGAUUUCAGUUAUUUUUCUGUCUUUAUGAUCUUUGUUUCUGCUGCUGUGUUCUUUGUUGCUGAGUUGUCGUUUUAUUUUAUCUAUUUUUUCAUAUAUAUGCUGCUCCAUAAUCGUACAUUAACUGAAAUAAUUCACUCUUAUUGUUGUUAUUCAUUUGAUACAAAUAUUUCUUAUUAUUUGCAUUUUGAUUUAAUAAACACGUAACAUCUGGAAGCAAUACAAAUGAGGAACAAACACCCUCCCCCCCACACACUCACAUGAUCAAGAUGAGAAACUGAGGAGGAAGUGGUGCCUGAGGGAUAUCAAGAAAUUAAACUUUCCCCAUCGAUGCAUUGGCAUAUGCAAGGACCUUAAAAAGACGAUGGUUCAAACCGAAAAUGUUCAAGAAUUUAAAACUAAACUUGAAACAUGAUAUUUGGAAUGACGUCCCAACGAGUGUCUCACAACUCGGGAAAUACAAUUGGAUGAGUACACCCUGCCCACCCCUACACACAUACACACUCAUUAUAUUGAUUUGCUUUGUUUGCUAACCUUUUCUCUCCCCGCCUCCCUGCCUGGCCG
Eriocheir sinensis (Chinese mitten crab) is the source of this 1672-nucleotide long non-coding RNA. RefSeq lists it as uncharacterized. The record is from RefSeq and is a predicted model, not a curated record. The transcript is spliced from 3 exons. NCBI's taxonomy places the organism in Eukaryota, Metazoa, Arthropoda, Malacostraca, Decapoda, Varunidae.